UUGUGGAGAAAUCAACUAAAUCACAAGAUGGUGGCACCACUGUGAAUACAACACCUUUGCCAGCGAUUUUCCAUACAAAGAACAUCAGCUCUGUGGAACAGAACACAGCUGCUUCAGCAACAGAGGUGAUCUGCACAGACAAGUUCGACAGCAGCAUGGUAACACUACUGCCAGAUCCUGAAGAGCAGAGAGUGAACAUGCUGUCCAUGGCUGUGCUGGGUUUGAGAGUCCUGCUGGCAAAGAGCAUCGCCUUCAAUGUCCUCAUGAGUAUCAAGUUGUUUCUUUUCUGAGACAUGGGGAAUGAAGAGAAGAGGAGCCCGAAGAAGAGCAGGAAAGAACGUGAACCAACAGCACAAGGGGGUUGAACAAGCAGGGGCAGAGCUGCUGACAGAGGCCACCCAGGACACAAGGCAGCACCUUCCCCUGAAGACAUUGAAUACUGUUCACUCCUGCCUGGCCAGCUGAUUUACACUGAAGACUUCUAAGUGCUUUUGCUCUUUCCUCUCCUCUGACAACUCAGGAGAGUGGAUUUAUCCUCAUCCUCCUGCUGAGUAGAUCUCCCCACUCUUUCUGGCAUUUGCACACAAGGGUCCAACCUGCUUCAAUAGCUUUGAAGACUCCAAUGCUCACUCUAGAUAGAUGGCCUUUUAAAAGCACCUUUCCCAGGCAUGUUGUGUUACUGCCUGUGGAACUGGAGCAGCACUGCUGAGGGAAUUCAAGCCCAGUAGUUGCCAUUUGUAGCUUUGGGUUUAGAGAGAUUUAAUAAGUGUGUACUGCAGAUAAGAAGAGUGUAUAAGACAUGAAGUGAUCUCAUUCAACUAGAUAAUGUUCAUUUCUUUAUUAAG
Vidua chalybeata is the source of this 845-nucleotide long non-coding RNA. RefSeq lists it as uncharacterized. The record is from RefSeq and is a predicted model, not a curated record. Lineage: Eukaryota; Metazoa; Chordata; Aves; Passeriformes; Viduidae. The transcript has 3 exons.